This is a non-coding RNA of Schistosoma mansoni, 46 nucleotides long. Lineage: Eukaryota; Metazoa; Platyhelminthes; Trematoda; Strigeidida; Schistosomatidae. The record is from Rfam.
AUCCAGCUGACGAGUUGGAAAAUGAGGCAAAACAUGUGUCCUGGAU